CAAGAGCGUAUAUUAAAGUUGUUGCAGUUAAAAAGCUCGUAGUUGGAUUUCUGGUACAAUGCGCCUGGCCCGCGGCAGUAAUGCCUGUGAGUGCCGGUGCGCGUUUGCCAUCCUUCUAGAAAACGUUUCUACCCUUUACUGGGCCGGACUCGCGAUCUAGAUCUUUUACUUUGAAAAAAUUAGAGUGUUCAAAGCAGGCUUUUGCUGUGAAUACAUUAGCAUGGAAUAAUAAUCUAGGACUUCGGUUUUAUUUUUGUUUGGUUUUCUUAGUAGCUGAGGUAAUGAUUAAUAGGGAUAGUUGGGGGUCGAUUCGUAUUUAACUUGUCAGAGGUGAAAUUACUUGGAUUUGUUAAAGUACGGACUACUGCGAAAG
Molecule: ribosomal RNA, 373 nt
Filed under: uncultured eukaryote
Lineage: Eukaryota
Description: bacterial SSU rRNA
Rfam family: Eukaryotic small subunit ribosomal RNA
Source: RNAcentral